CAUUUCUCCAUUAUCUCCCAACGCCCGUCUUGCCACCGAUAAUGAACCCCCAUUUACCGUCACAGAGCAAUCAGUUUUUCAGAAAUUGUUAGCACUAAAUCCAACCAAAGCAACUGGGCCACAUGGUAUUCCCUGCUGGCUUUUAAAAGAGAACGCCGAUAUUCUUGCACGACCAGUAAUGUCGAUUACAUAUAUACAUACUUAC
This is a non-coding RNA of Paramuricea clavata, 205 nucleotides long. The record is from the annotation of a GenBank genome assembly. Lineage: Eukaryota; Metazoa; Cnidaria; Anthozoa; Malacalcyonacea; Plexauridae.